UACGUAGGGAGCAAGCGUUGUCCGGAUUUACUGGGCGUAAAGAGCGCGCAGGCGGUCGAUCAAGUCGAGUGUGAAAGCCCCCGGCUCAACUGGGGAGGGUCAUUCGAUACUGAUCGACUCGAAGGCAGGAGAGGGUAGUGGAAUUCCCGGUGUAGUGGUGAAAUGCGUAGAUAUCAGGAGGAACACCAAUGGCGAAGGCAGCUCGCUGGGACGGUACUGACGCUGAGACGCGAAAGCGUGGGGAGCAAACAGG
RNAcentral lists this ribosomal RNA (253 nucleotides) under uncultured bacterium. Its description in RNAcentral is "partial 16S ribosomal RNA". It matches the Rfam family "Bacterial small subunit ribosomal RNA", at positions 524 to 776 of the family's 1533-position model. The record is from RNAcentral.